This 1693-nucleotide long non-coding RNA is filed under the name Helianthus annuus (common sunflower). RNAcentral's name for it is "hypothetical non coding rna". Lineage: Eukaryota; Viridiplantae; Streptophyta; Magnoliopsida; Asterales; Asteraceae. The record is from RNAcentral.
UUUGUUUUUCACUGUGUUUCAUUCUUGGCUUUCAAAUAACCUUUGUCUUCACGCACAACAGUUGUCUUCUCUCAGUCUAGGGUUACACAACCAUUACCAUGGUGGGCUGCACUAAACCCUAAAUGUACCCUAAUAGGCUUUUCUUCACGUACGUUCCUUUAUCCUUGCAUCAGCCUCUACAAAUCAGGAACGGCGAAAAAUUUAGUCUUAGGUUUGUCAAAAUCAGCAUCGGAAGCGCGACGAAGUGAGCAAGCAGCAACGACGACCAAAACAACCCGAAACGGCAGUCAUUUAGGGAUUCGGAUUUCGGAUUUUGCGGCAAGUGCAGCGACGGCGGUGACUCGGAUUCUCCUUUCUUUCGAUUUCAGGUUACCUCAAAUCGAUAACAGUCGAACACCUCCGCACGAACUCUCAGGCCACGGAGAACUCUCAGACCACGGAUCGAUUGAACAGAGGUGCUGAUUGUUUGUCGGUUGGAGAAGGGGCGUUUGUGGAGCACCACCCGAGCGGAAGGGUUUUCGUGGAAUAAAGAUCUAUGCCCUUAGACAAUUUGAAUCAAUUGCGUUCAGGUUCUCUAUUGGUUUUGCGAGUCGUUACAGGUGUGAUAUGCUGAGGAUAGGGCUACUGGAUUAAUGAGCUGGAGGUAUGGGCUUGCUGAGGAUUGAAGAUAUGGGCUUACCGAGGAUUGGACUAAUGGGCUUGUUGACUUCUAGAAGAUGUGCGCAUGGGCUUCAAGUACUGUUGCCCUAAGUGAUUGGGAUAUAUAACUGACUUCAUCAGUCACAAUCUCUAACACCUCAAAUAUUUUCUCUCUCUAGAUUCAUCUGUUGAGAGAACUUUCUCUCCUAGGUUUACACGUUUAAGGUCUUUCUUGAUGAUCUCUUGUUGAGAUCUUGUGUCAGUGUGUUAGAUCUUGUGAUUAGUGUAUGCAGAUCAUCUAGUUGAUGAUUUGCUUGUGAGGAGUAAUUUGUUCAUAUUUGUAUAGUUUUCUAGUUAUUGUUGAGUUUUUAUCAGUUUAAAGUCUUUGAUCCAUGUUUUUUACAUGGUAUCAGAGCCAUUAGUGCUCUUUGGGUUAAUCGCUUCCAUUUUUAGUCACUGAUUGUGAAUCUUUGUUCUAGGGUUUCAUAAUUUUUUGGGGAUUUUGUUGUCUUCUUGGAAUAUUGCAUAGAUUUUAUAAGAUCUGGGUAUUUCUAGUCCGUUAAAGAAGACAGAUCUAAGGUCUUGGUAGACUACGUGUUUGUCGACUUCAGAUCUUGGAAAGGAUUCUUGGAGGCUGCUGAUCUGGUUAGGGUUUAAUCCUCGAAGAUUGUAAAACCUUAAACUAAUUUGGAGAAACCCUUACUUAGGUUUGCUUACUUGGUGAGAUUGUUAUUUCUUUUACGUAUUUUUAUUUUUCAUUGCAUUUAGGCAUUAUUGUUGUCGGACUAGUCGGGCCAGUUUGUUGAUUUGGGACACAGAGAGGGUACAAUAUGUUGCAUUCAUUUUGUGAUAUUUGUCGGACUACUGGUUCUUUAUCAGAUAGAAUACAGCUUCUGUACAAAGGCCUAGGUAGGCACCAUUUAAGUGACGAACCUACUAUCUGGCCCCUGGUACAGUUUGCAGUGUAGGAUUAUAUUCUACUUGUUUAGUUGAAGUGUAUGCUCUAAUUGUUACUUGUUGAAUUGGUUUGUGGUAUUUGAUUUCUUGAGUAGUA